This is a long non-coding RNA of Bos taurus (domestic cattle), 1749 nucleotides long. The record is from Ensembl. Lineage: Eukaryota; Metazoa; Chordata; Mammalia; Artiodactyla; Bovidae.
CCGCGCUUCCUGACCGGGUCCCUCUGCACCAACGUGGGUGGGGGAGGGGCGCACACCCUUUUAGCCUAGGCUUUUGCCGGGUAACCGCGCUGCAUCUGAAGACCUUUCCUGAACCCUGCCGUGCUUCUCGUAGGGACAAGGGGGCUUUAUUGUGUGUCCAAUUCGUGCGCUGCAGCAAAAUGGCCCUUCAGUCUCAUUUUGAGGGAUUCUCGGCAGGGUUCAAAUGCUCCAGCGGUGAAAGAAAAAAAAAAAAAAUCCAGAAGGGAGGAAAAAAAGAGCGACGCCCUCCCUCCCCCAUUAAUUAUUUGUGGGGCUGGAGUAGCGCGGGCUGGUGCAACCGGUGCAUAUAAGGACUUGUGUGCAAAGAAGGGGAUCCGCCUCCAGCCGCGGAACGAAUGAGGGAGAAGCGCACUCCUGUGGGCGCCCAGCGCCCCCCCAUCCCCCGGGCCUCGGCAAUCUACAACUGUCGCAGGGUCGGGUCCGCCAGCAGCCCCGGGAAUCCCAGAUGGCAGUUCUGGACGGGUCACUUCCCGCCUCGAGGUUGGGAAGGUUUGCCAGAAGCGGGAAAGUCGGGCGAUCUGAGCUCCUUCUUGGCCUCGCCACACCCCGGACCUGUCCAUGCCGCAAUUCCCCCACGGAAACGACCGAAUUGAAACGAGAAUUGUUCUCCGGGUGCAGUGGUUUGAAUGCUUCAGAUUGUUGGAGCUGUAACUUGGGUUUUCUGCCCGUCAGUAUCCAAAGGGUGAUAGGUGUCUGAAAUCAGAACAGAGAAACCUGGAAGUUAAGAAGAACAGCAACAGACUGAAAAUGGUAACAAAACUGAAGUCCACCAGGCAGAGAUGGUACCAGGCAAAGUGUCCCAGGCCUGACUCCUGCACACUCACCGCUGCACCACCCUGCCCCUCCCUGCCAUACCAGUUCAGAGGAAGUGUUUCCCAGGGUCAUAAAAUCCCUCCUCUCCGUCAUCAUCAAAACUUCCUCUUGGCCAUCAAGUGAAGUAGAUGACAAAGCUGACUGUCCCAGUUUGGAGUCUUAGAGAAUGACUCACUAAGAAGUUAAAUAUAUACUCUCAUUGAGCAAAGGCAGCUGGUAAAGCUGGGGUCAGAUGGUCAGGCUCGUGAACUGACUGUUCUGCCCACUGGCCCAUACCUGAGGUCCAGGAACAGCCUCAGAAAUGGCUCUGCCUGGGGGAAGAGGCCCUGGGGCUGACUCAGUCAGCAGUGUAAACCCAGAGAAGAAUGCAGGCGCUUCAUUCUUGGGAACUUCUGUUAUGGAAAGUAAAAUCAUUUGGACAAUUGGCAUCUUUUACAUCUUCCUAUUAUGGCUACAGGGAACUUUGCUUUUUUCACAUUUGUGUAUCACUUUAGAGUUUAGAUUUGCUUUUGCUUUCACCUUCUCGUGUAGUGCUCAUGGCAGUAUUUUCUGUCCUAUUUUACAAAUGAGACAUUUAAUAAUUUAUACAGGAUGACACACCCAGCAGGUCUUUAGUUUCCAAAUCUUCUGCUGAACUCCAUCAAAUAUUUAUGUGAAAUAAGUGUGAUGUGUGUCAAUUGUUUUCUCCAAACAAUGGUGAUUAUAUGUAUACUAUAUGUGUGUAUGUGUGUGGGCUUAGUGACUAAACAACAGUAAAGAAAGCAUAUACCAUAAUAUGCAUCAUGGGAUUCAUUUGCGGGGAGAAAAAGAGAAUGCCUGUGUGCUGGAUACAAAAAGGCUGGGGAGAUGCUAGCAGGCCUGACAUUUCUAGGUGGG